This is a long non-coding RNA of Prinia subflava (tawny-flanked prinia), 6256 nucleotides long. RefSeq lists it as uncharacterized. The record is from RefSeq and is a predicted model, not a curated record. The transcript has 3 exons. NCBI's taxonomy places the organism in Eukaryota, Metazoa, Chordata, Aves, Passeriformes, Cisticolidae.
GGCGUGAGGGGGGAGCGGCAUGGAGGGCGUGAGGAGGUGUCUCCUUGGAAGUGCAGGCUGUGGAUGCUCAGCCCUUCUCACGGGAGAAGUGCACGGAGACCUUUGCAAGUUCUGACAGCAGAGACAGAGCUGGCCCUGGCACCCCCUGGACACAAAGUCAGGGAAUAUCUAACAGUCCCAAGCCUCAGCUCUGGAGUACAAAGCUAGCAGAAUCCUUCAAGCUGUCACUGAUCCAAAACUCCCUGCAAAGUAGCACUGUCAGCAUGGAAAGCUAAUGUUACAACAAGUUCUUUCAGCAGAGCAGAAAGGGGUUCUAACAGAGAAAAGGGCAGAUUCAAUAAGAUCAACACAGACAAACACCCGAGAAAUGAGUUCUGAAGGAUCCUGAAGCAACAGGAGCAUUAGUGGAACUGGUUAAAGGAAAUUCGAAGGAGCAGAACUAAGUCCUUGGAAAAUGCACGUUUGCACGCUUUAACAGCCCUGAAAGGCUCUCAAAAGAAAUGAAUACAAACACAGUGAGCCAAAACUCAAAAGCAAUACCCUGAAAAAACUGUAAAAAACCCUGCAAACUGGCAUCACCAAGAGAUAAAGGAAGUUAAUGGAAUUAUCAGUGAGAAAGACCAGCCCAGCAUGGGAAGAAAAUUAAGAGUCCAUCAUAUUUUCCCGAAGUGUAGUGCUGAGAGGAUACAAAACCCCUCAACUUUUGCUGCUGAGAUGCAACUUACAGCUCCAGACUUGGCCAGAACCCUGGAAUUUCAUCCCAGUGGCACUGUGGGCUCUGUGGGCUCACAGGGGAUGAGUUCUGGCUGGACAGGCAGCCUGCACCAGAACAGCUCGGGGGAAAAAGGGGUCUGGGAAUGCUGCACUUCCUUUAGAGUUAGAAGUGGGAAACCAAGGGGAAAAUACAUCAGCUUUCAGACCAACCUGGUGACAGAAAUGUGAGCAAAUAUCUAGCACUAUUUUAGCUGUGAACCUUAAAGGAUCAAGGCUUGACAUCUGAGUAAAAAUCGUGGGAACUUUAAGAGCAGGGCAGCAAAGUUCUUUGCAGCCAUAUGGAGAAGACUGAAUCUCAGGGCAGUUCACUGACAUGGAACUUAUUUCACAUAACAGAGAGCCUGAAACACCAGGUUACCUCAGUGAAACCUGCUACAAGCUGACUCAGCCAGGGAGCUGAGUUCUGCCUCAGCAAUGUAGGGAUUCACACAAAAACCUUCACAGGUCACAGGGAAUGAGCAGCUCAUCAGUAACAUUCAUCAGCCUGGUCAAUCUUCACCAGGAUGAACAAGGCAUUUUGGAGUGCCUGGUUUGGUUUUUUUUUGUCUUUUGGAACACGUUCACCCUCUUGAAUUAAUGCACAACAGCCUGAGGGACCUGCCAAGUGUACCUGAAUACAAGUUGGACUUUAAGAAGAAAAGUCCUCUGGAACAUUAUGUACAGGGAAGGAGUGACAGAAAUCACUGUACUGUAUCCUGGAAAAUCAGAUCCUACAAGGUGUUUUGCACAGCUGAACAACAGCCAGAGGACACAGAUCCUCCAAAUUCUGGGAUCAGAAAGAUCAGUGCACUCCUUGAAGGGACAGAGGAAAAAGGAUCAGAAAGCAGAGAUGUUACCCUCACUAAGACCACACUGCCAGAAAACCACAUGCAUUUCUGAUGCUUUUCAUUAAAAAAAUGUAAGGCAGCAACACAAAUCUGAGAAGAUCUAGAACAAGAAAUCUACAAACCUAAUCUAAAUUAAUCAUCAGUUCAUAUAAAGGCAGGAACAAUUGUCUGGAGAACUUAAAUACAAGACUCCUAAAAUUUAGCUAAAACAGGCAUAAAAAGGACAACAUAGUUCAAAGUCAGAGUUGGUAAAAUGUAGAUUGGAAAUAAAAUACAACUCCACCCUCCCAAGCAAGUGGAAAACUUUCCAUCAGUUUAAGUCUUUCAUGGAUACUGUUGUUCAGCUACAAUGAACUAAGUGAUGCUCACAUGCAGAGGGGAAAUUAUUCCGCUCCCUACAAGUUUUGUCAUUCCCUGGUAGAAUGAAAUUCAAAGAUUAACAGAUUUCAGGCUCAGAGGAAUUCUUCAGCCUCUUGUUUGAACUGCAACACUGCUCAUACCUACAGGACAAUGGAAUAAUUCAGGCAAGAUCUUAACACACAGAAAAGUUGCAGCAACAACUUGAGUGGGGCAUUUUUGGGAAUAUGAAAAUGAAUAUUUUCCUUCACGAUCCUGGGAUUUCUCUUGAAUAAGUCUGAGCAGCGCAGUGUGCUCAUCUUCUGAGGGCUCCCAGGAAGAGCACAAGCAUGGAAAGGUGAGUCCAGAUCCUGGAGGAACUUCAGUCACUUCCUGUGAAAGCUGGGACACUUGAGUUCUGGAAAUUCUCUUUCUGCAGCUGAAGAAGAGGAGCUGCUCAGGGAGCACCUCCACCACCAGCACGGCUCAGCUGAGCAGGAUUCACUUUAUGAAUGAGAAGCACAAAGGGCUGAGUAUCCUCUUUCUUCCUUACCCCAUUUCCAUUAACCUAACUCCAGCCAUCUCAGGGUGCCACAAAACCCCUGCUCUCUCAAAGGUGAGGAAAGAGUUAAAAUCCAAAGGGUCCCACAACUGAAGAAAGUUUCAAACCUGGCUUAUAUCAGUUCUUGUUUAUGGUGCACAUUCCCUCCCUCCUGUCAUGACCCUCUGACACUGUGCUGCCUUUGCGUCAGUCUGGGAAAAGUGCUUGUAUAUGUUUAAAAUAUUGUACAGAUACUGGGGAAUUAGGGCUAUAAACCACCCAAUAUUCCACUGAUUGGGCAGGUGGUGAAACCACAGAGCAGCUUCUCACUUUCUCAGACAUCUCAAGGGAUUUGCAUUUCUCUCUUCACUCCAAUUUUUAGUGUCAAUAGACUGUUUUCUCUUUAUUCCCAAGCUUUGGAAAGCUUUUCCUUUACAGCAAAUACAGGUCUUUAUUUUUGCAUCUGGUUUUAUUCUGUAAGGGUGGCUCCCUUUCCCAAUUCAGAGUGUGUUUAGGGCUUAUCACUGGUCUUAUCACACAAGGCACCAGUAAGACACCCCAGUGAUGUAAGCCACUUCCUCUGGGAGCAUAUGGGAACUGAAGGCACCACAUUCCAGUCCCUGUGCUUCCCCCACCCCCACGGGGACACCUUUUUUCCUUGUUCUCAAGUACCUUCCUACCCGUGCCGAGCAGAACAAAUAAAUCCCAUGAACGCCCUAUAAAAACAUAAAACUAUUGAGGGGAAGAGCUCUGAGUAUACCAGGAAAACAUUCACUCAGGGGUUACAGACUCAUUUCUGCAGAUUAUCAGAGGAUAAGAGCAGAUGUCUAAUACAGGGACUUCCUAAAGUUGCAGUUAAUUUGCAUUUAAAUAUAUUUUCAUCUCAAUAUAAAAAUGAAAAAACAACCCCAAGCAGAGUUAAACCAUUCUGCUCCCACACCCCUAAAGCCACUUCACCCCGAGCUGAGUGUGGGUAUCUUUCUGUAAGGAUUCCAUGAUUCCAGGAAGUUCAGUCACAAUGGAAGCCAUUUAGAAGCACUACAUUCAGAAUCAUGUUCUUAAAACUCAUAAAUGGUGAAAACAUCAAUUUCUUGCAUUUUAUCUGUCAUAUUUGCCUAUUUCAGACAGAUGUAUUUAAUAGCAUGGUAAGGCUUCUGUCUUUAUAAUGCUGCACUCUCAGCACAGAGCAUUUCUAUCUUUAGGUAUUUCAGGCAUUUUUUAGUGCAUAUCACACAUUUUUACCCCAAGUCCCCAUGUCAAAUUGCAAACACAUGACAUAUUUCGUAUUUCCUCUGCUGUCCAUCACCCUGCUAAUGCCUGCAUGGAGCACUUUGUCUUGUUUGGGAUCCCUUUAGCCAUAACUGUGAUACCUCAUCACAAAUGAUCCAUUUCUACUGAAAACAGAAUGUUUUUCUUUCCCACAAUUCAGUGAUUUAUCCUGUUUGUUUAACAUCCUUGAAAAAUUCCAGGAAGACAUAAAAAGUUCUGUUCAAUUCUUUUUUCUUUGUUACUCUGAAAAAUCACCUACAAGAAGUUAGAAACUGCAGCAUCAGUCAAAAGGUCAAUUUAACAAAGAGUUUGCAAGUUUACUUUAUACUUCAGAAAUCACAGAAAGUAUCAUGGUUUUGUGACAUUGUGAUUUUUAGGGAAGCCAAAGCUCUUCAUCUCAUUCAUUCUGUGCUGAGGCUCCCCUAUCCCUGAGAGCAGCCAGGAAUUUCACAGACACUGAGCCCCACAAAAAUCAACAAUCCCAACAAGAACCCGACCUGGAAUAUUCAAAUUUCUCAGAGAGAUCUGUGCAUCUGCCAAACAAAAAAUUGCACCAUACUAAAAUAUAGUUAUUUUGUUUUUCCGGAUGUUUUAGCUUGGCCACAGUAAAAAAGCAGGACAACUUGCAAAUAUUUAACUCUUUCUACUGGAUUAACUUCCCUACACAAACACAAAAUCAUCUUCAAUCUUCUACUAAUGUUUUCACCUCCCUUCCACUGCAGAACAACCUCCCACUUAUUUUUUUCUGAAAGAGCACCUUAAUUACACUUGAAGUAUAAUUUAUUAUACACCUCCCCAGCAUCUUCUUUGAUAGGAGUGUGAAGACAGCAGCAUCAGCAUGGAGGCAUUAUUUAAUUAGAAUUACUAAAAUCAGUGUGGGAGUGUCUGUAGUGCAGGAGUGAUGCAUCAUUCCUCCCAAGCACAUCCAGAGGACAAAUAAAAAGGAGACCAACCAAAACAUAAUUAUACUUUUUCAGAUAUAUUAAGCCUACUGUGCCACCAGCUUACACAGCUACUCUUUUAAAACAGAAGAGAAUUACAAGGUACUUCAUGAUUUUAACCAAAGCCAGCCCACAGAAUGCCACAAAACGUUACAGAGCUUAGGAUGUAACACAAGAAGAAAGUCAGGAUGGCUGUACUGAAGUGAUGCCACUGCUUUUCCAGAGAUGAGCUGCUCCCCAAAAAGCAACUGCCCUGAAGUGCCAGAUACUCAUGACCCAGUGUUUUCGUCCUUAAAAUCCAAUUAUGUUACAUUCACAACAAACCAUCCUGGUCUGUGACUGCUCUACACAACACCAGGCAUCCUUGUCAGCAAUGACGGCACAAACCUCUGUCUGCACACACAUGAAACAGGGAGCCACCACAUUCUGACCCCACAGCAGCAACAGCUUCACUUCCAGCUGAAUUCAGCCACCUUUAACUUCCACCUGUGGAGCUCUGUAACUUGAGGGCACUGUGCAGCUCCAGGAGGUUCCUGGGAUAAACAGGAUGGGUUUAGAUUUCCCUGUAUGACUGUGCAAACCUACUGGCACUAUUUCGGUUUCUCUCAGGUUAUCUCCUUAGUCAAUCACUCUGUGCAGAAACUGAAAAAUGAAACAAGUCUUGUUACAUCUUUCCAAUACUGGUCUCUUAUUCCACCCACAGACCUACAGUAUCUGUGUCUAUUUUCUGCCAAAUAAGUUCACCAAAUCUCUCAUUACACAGGUUUACUAUAACUAAAAAUUAUCUAGUGGCUCCUUGCUGACAUGCCAAUCACACAUCCACAUCAUUUUGCAAGGAUUAAUUUCCAAACUCAAGCAGUUCCAGCACCAACUUCACUAAUUGCUACAGGAGGGACACCACUGCCUUUGGCUGCACGUUCUGACAUAUCCAAGGGUCUGCACUGCUGGGGUUUAGUUGGACUAAACAGCAAAAAUGCUGCUCCUCAGAGAGCUUCUCCCUCUGGCACAAUCAGCACCUUCUGCUCUUGAAGUGUUACACUUAAACGUGUUGUUUUCAUUACUACAUGUUCAGCUGAUGAGAAAUAAUAUCAACCUUCUCCUUUCAGGGGGAAAGGAACUGAACUUCACAUCUGAUUUAAAGAAAGCACUGCCUUUACAUCCUGAAGAGUUCUCACCACUCAACUCCCCACUCGAGCUCAGCCUCCUUGAUAACGCAAAACUGCCUUGUCACAAGUCAGACUUUGGGGAUGACACUUCCACAGAACCAUCCCGCGGCUGAGAUGACACGGAAAACCUAUGAAUUAUCGCUAAGCGGGUUAGGAAAACAAAGAGGUGCGAGGCUGGAGCUGCAGGAUGCCCAGCUCCAGGACGCUGGAUUUCAUGUGGCACAGGACGGCAGGUGCGGACAGACGGCUCUGCUCGGCUCUGCUCGGGCAGCGGCCCCAGCUCCGGAACGCGGCUUAAUUCCACCACAAAGCGCUCCACGCCUGCGAACACCGCCCGGGCGCCCAGCGGAGCCGCCCCGGCUGCCCUGCCCGGGGCUGCGGGCACCGCCAGCCCUGGGGGUC